Molecule: ribosomal RNA, 254 nt
Filed under: uncultured bacterium
Lineage: Bacteria
Description: partial 16S ribosomal RNA
Rfam family: Bacterial small subunit ribosomal RNA
Source: RNAcentral
UACGAAGGGGGCUAGCGUUGCUCGGAAUCACUGGGCGUAAAGCGCACGUAGGCGGCUUACUAAGUCAGGGGUGAAAUCCUGGAGCUCAACUCCAGAACUGCCUUUGAUACUGGUGAGCUUGGAGUCCGAGAGGGGUGAGUGGAACUGCGAGUGUAGAGGUGAAAUUCGUAGAUAUUCGCAAGAACACCAGUGGCGAAGGCGGCUCACUGGUCCGGUACUGACGCUGAGGUGCGAAAGCGUGGGGAGCAAACAGG